AUUAAAUGAGAGUUUGAUCCUGGCUCAGGACGAACGCUGGCGGCGUGCCUAAUACAUGCAAGUAGAACGCUGAAGACUUUAGCUUGCUAAAGUUGGAAGAGUUGCGAACGGGUGAGUAACGCGUAGGUAACCUGCCUACUAGCGGGGGAUAACUAUUGGAAACGAUAGCUAAUACCGCAUAACAGCA
RNAcentral lists this ribosomal RNA (187 nucleotides) under Streptococcus sp. 45. Its description in RNAcentral is "partial 16S rRNA. Bacterial SSU". It matches the Rfam family "Bacterial small subunit ribosomal RNA", at positions 1 to 181 of the family's 1533-position model. Lineage: Bacteria; Bacillati; Bacillota; Bacilli; Lactobacillales; Streptococcaceae. The record is from RNAcentral.